AUCGAUGAUGACUUCCUUAUAUACAUUCCUUGGAAAGCUGAACAAAAUGAGUGAAAACUCUAUACCGUCAUCCUCGUCGAACUGAGGUCCAGCACAUUGCUCUUACAGGGGCUAGAGAGAGAGGGACAAAUUUCAUUUGAUGAUGCCCAUUGCACCAAGGGGUUCUGUCCAGGCUUAGGAUGGGGUCUCGUUUGGGCAAAGGAGAAUGGCAGGGGAGUGGAGGCUAUGUACACAGGAGAUUCCUUGUUUGAAGGACUCUAUUUGUGAGGCCAGGGUACCACACAUGCUGUCCGCAGGAGUAGGUGAAUGUGCAGUUGCCCAGGAAGAGUUAGCCUGUAGCCUGCCUCUGCAUGGCAGUUUGUCCUUGGGUCCUGGCUCUGGAUUUCCAUGUUCCUUGGAGGAGGAUAGGUGAUUUUGCUUGAGAAGACAGCACAGUACCAUACUUUUGUUGUUUUUCUGCUCAUUUCAUCGUCCAUUGAGGACAAUGAAGUUGUGGUCAGCAGGCAUAGCUUUCAGGCCAGCGUGCCCAUGUUGUGUCCCAUGCAUUGUGAGCACAUGCAUGUGGCAUGAACACAUAGGCUGCCACUCCAAGCUGAGUCUGAUAGGCAAUGAGACUCUGGCUUAUCCUGAUCCCGGUGUAGAUCAAAGUCUUCCCAGUAGGAUUGCAUGGCCCCGAGGCUAUUGUGAGCUGCAUUGCAGGUGUGGAAGCAAGGGUGUUGAGAGGGAUGCUCAACAUUAGUGCUCUUUAGCGAGAUGAUGCACUAUAAGGGCACCCUGAACCCAGACGUGCAUCCCUAUGUACGUGCAUUUCUGUGUCCAUAAAUAGUUGAAGCCAGACAGCCAGAUUCCAGAUGUAUCGCAGGGGGCUGGAUGACAUGGCCCUUGUCACCUGUGUACCUGUCUGCCUUUCUGAAGCACGCUUGUGUUUCCUCUACACCUCCCAGGUAGCAUUGGCAUGGAAGGCAGGCCCAUGUUGGUGAGGGACAAUUGUUAUCUUGUGUGAGCCGCAGGGAUACCAGGAAACCCCUGGACACAAAUGGCAAAGGCUUCUUUGGAAGUUGUUGGAUCCCUUCUGCAUGUAAGCAGUUCUUUCCCAGAGCGCUCUGAUUUUCCUCAUUUGCAGGGACAAACACUGUGCGUGGAUCGAUGAUGACUUCCAUAUAUACAUUCCUUGGAAAGCUGAACAAAAUGAGUGAAAACUCUAUACCGUCAUCCUCGUCGAACUGAGGUGGUGUUGGCAUGAAAGGCAGGCUUGUAUCAUGAGGAAUGAUUGUCAUCUUGUCUGAUUCUUGGAGAUGGCAGGAAGCCCCUGGAAACACAUGGUGUGGACUCUUUCACAGGCUGUUGAAACCCUCCUGAAUGUGAGGCCAGAGACAGGCAGACAGCAGAUGUAUUGCAGGGAGCUGGAUGACAUGGCCCUUGGAACCUGUGCACAUGCCUGCCUUUCUGAUGCACGUCCAUGUUUUCUCUGCACCUCCCCGGUGGUGUUGGUAUAAAAAGCAGGCUUACAUCAGCAAGGGAUGAUUGUCGUCUCAUGCGAUCCUGGGAGAUGGCAGAAGUCCCGGGACACAUGGAGUGUGGGCUCUUUCGGAGGCUGUUGGAUCCCUCCUGAAUGUGUUGUGGCCAUGGAAGUAAGGCCAGUGGCUACGAGGGACAGUCUUCAUCUUGGGAGAUCCCUAGAGAGGGCAGGGAGCCCCUUGACAUGUGGAAUGUGAUCUCUGUUGGGUGCUGGUGGAUCCCACAGGUGGUCUGGCAUGGAAGAAGGCCAGAGGCUGCGAUGGAUCAUCUUUGUCUUGGGAGAUUCCUGGAGAUGGUGGGGAGCCCCUGGGCACGUGCAGCAUAUGUGGCGUGGGCUUCUUCAGGUGCUGGUGGAUCCCUCAGGAUGGUAAAUGUCCAUUUUCCAAAAUCUUCUGAUAUUCCAUCUUUGUAGGUACAAAGACUGUGCAUGGAUCGAUGAUGACUUUUAUACAUGCAUUCCUUGGAAAGCUGAACAAAAUGAGUGAAAACUCUAUACCGUCAUCUUCGUUGAACUGAGGUCCAGCACAUUGCUCCAACAGUGGGUAGAUAGAGAGGGAAAACUUCCAUUUGUUGACGCAGGUUCCAUUGAGGGGUUUGUCCAGGCUUAGGAUGGGGUCCCCUUUGGGCAAAGGGAGUCACAGGGGAGUGCGGCCUCCUGUGCACAGGAGAUUCCUUGUGUGAAGGAUUUACCUCUGUGAGAGCAGGGUAGCACACAUAACUAUGCAGGAGCAGGUGAAUGUGCAGGUGGCACAGGAAGAGUUAGAUGGCAGCCUGUCUCUGCACAGCGAGGUUUGACUUGUCCUAGCUCUGCAUUCCCUCAUCCCUUAGAGGAAGUUGGUUUCUUCAGAAGACUUAAAUUUGUGGAAUUCAGUAGAAUAUUAUCCACAUAAUGUUCCCAGUGAAUGCUAGGCAUAUCACCCAAGAUGGCCAGGCCUCUGGCCAUAAACCAUAGUAAAUAGUAGGGUGUGCAUAUAUCCAUUAGGGAGAACCUGAAAGG
RNAcentral lists this long non-coding RNA (2515 nucleotides) under Homo sapiens (human). Its description in RNAcentral is "HSALNT0380137". The stretch from base 1948 to 2039 matches the Rfam family "Small nucleolar RNA SNORD116". Lineage: Eukaryota; Metazoa; Chordata; Mammalia; Primates; Hominidae. The record is from RNAcentral.